GCUUGUCUCAAAGAUUAAGCCAUGCAUGUCUAAGUGUAAAUAAGUCUAUACUGUGAAACUGCGAAUGGCUCAUUAAAUCAGUUAUCGUUUAUUUGAUGAUCUCUUACUACUUGGAUAACCGUAGUAAUUCUAGAGCUAAUACAUGCUAUAUGCCCGGCUUCUGGCAGGGCUGUAUUUAUUAGAUACUAAACCAGUGUCGCAAGACAUUGUGGUGAAUCACAGUAACUGAUCGAAUCGGCGCGCAAGCGGCGAUAAAUCAUUCAAGUUUCUGCCCUAUCAGCUUUCGAUGGUAGUGUAUUGGACUACCAUGGCAGUCACGGGUAACGGAGAAUUAGGGUUCGGUUCCGGAGAGGGAGCCUGAGAAACGGCUACCACAUCUAAGGAAGGCAGCAGG
This 394-nucleotide ribosomal RNA is filed under the name uncultured ciliate. RNAcentral describes it as "partial small subunit ribosomal RNA". It matches the Rfam family "Eukaryotic small subunit ribosomal RNA", at positions 30 to 432 of the family's 1831-position model. The record is from RNAcentral. Lineage: Eukaryota; Ciliophora.